RNAcentral lists this ribosomal RNA (825 nucleotides) under uncultured eukaryote. Its description in RNAcentral is "SSU rRNA". It matches the Rfam family "Eukaryotic small subunit ribosomal RNA", at positions 62 to 898 of the family's 1831-position model. The record is from RNAcentral.
AGUAUAAGCAAUUAUACCGUGAAACUGCGAAUGGCUCAUUAAAUCAGUUAUCGUUUAUUUGAUAGUACCUUACUACUUGGAUAACCGUGGUAAUUCUAGAGCUAAUACAUGCUGAAAACCCCGACUUUUGGAGGGGUGUAUUUAUUAGAUAAAAAACCAAUGCCCUUUGGGCUCUUUGGCGAUUCAUAGUAACUUAACGGAUCGCAUGGCCUUGCGCCGGCGACGGUUCAUUCAAAUUUCUGCCCUAUCAACUUUCGAUGGUAAGGUAUUGGCUUACCAUGGUUUCAACGGGUAACGGGGAAUUAGGGUUCGACUCCGGAGAGGGAGCCUGAGAAACGGCUACCACAUCCAAGGAAGGCAGCAGGCGCGCAAAUUACCCAAUCCCAAUACGGGGAGGUAGUGACAAUAAAUACUGAUACAGGGCUCUUUUGGGUCUUGUAAUUGGAAUGAGUACAAUUUAAACCUCUUAACGAGGAACAAUUGGAGGGCAAGUCUGGUGCCAGCAGCCGCGGUAAUUCCAGCUCCAAUAGCGUAUAUUAAAGUUGUUGCAGUUAAAAAGCUCGUAGUUGAAUCUUGGGCCUGGCUGGCCGGUCCGCCUCACCGCGUGUACUGGUCCGGCCGGGUCUUUCCUUCUGGAGAGCCGCAUGCCCUUUACUGGGUGUGUCGGGGAACCAGGACUUUUACUUUGAAAAAAUUAGAGUGUUCAAAGCAGGCCUUUGCUCGAAUACGUUAGCAUGGAAUAAUAGAAUAGGACAUGUGGUCCUAUUUUGUUGGUUUCUAGGACCGCUGUAAUGAUUAAUAGGGAUAGUCGGGGGCAUUAGUAUU